This 368-nucleotide ribosomal RNA is filed under the name uncultured organism. Its description in RNAcentral is "bacterial SSU rRNA". It matches the Rfam family "Bacterial small subunit ribosomal RNA", at positions 526 to 896 of the family's 1533-position model. The record is from RNAcentral.
CGGAGGGUGCAAGCGUUAUCCGGAUUCACUGGGUUUAAAGGGAGCGUAGGUGGCUUUGUAAGUCAGUGGUGAAAUAUUGCGGCUCAACCGCAAAACUGCCAUUGAUACUGCUUAGCUUGAAUCAAGUCGAGGUGGAUGGAAUAAUACAUGUAGCGGUGAAAUGCUUAGAUAUGUAUUAGAACACCGAUUGCGAAGGCAGUUCACUAGGCUUGUAUUGACACUGAGGCUCGAAAGCGUGGGGAUCAAACAGGAUUAGAUACCCUGGUAGUCCACGCCCUAAACGAUGUAAACUCGACAUUAGCGAUAUACUGUUAGUGUCCAAGCGAAAGCGUUAAGUUUACCACCUGGGAAGUACGUCCGCAAGGAUG